UCCGGCUUAUCACCGGCGGUUUCUUUAGAGUGCUCAACUAAAUGAUGGCAACUAAAGACGAGGGUUGCGCUCGUUGCGGGACUUAACCCAACAUCUCACGACACGAGCUGACGACAGCCAUGCAGCACCUGUCUCCGGUCCAGCCGAACUGAAGGACUCCAUCUCUGGUGUCCGCGACCGGGAUGUCAAGGGUUGGUAAGGUUCUGCGCGUUGCUUCGAAUUAAACAACAUGCUCCGCUGCUUGUGCGGGGCCCCGUCAAUUCCUUUGAGUUUUAGCCUUGCGGCCGUACUCCCCAGGCGGGGUGCUUAAUGCGUUAGCUUCGGCACGGAGGGAGUCGACACCCCCCACACCUAGCACCCAUCGUUUACGGCGUGGACUAC
This 381-nucleotide unclassified non-coding RNA is filed under the name uncultured bacterium. RNAcentral describes it as "contains 16S-23S intergenic spacer region". The record is from RNAcentral.